Molecule: long non-coding RNA, 826 nt
Organism: Diospyros lotus (date-plum)
Lineage: Eukaryota; Viridiplantae; Streptophyta; Magnoliopsida; Ericales; Ebenaceae
Exons: 2
Source: RefSeq, a predicted model, not a curated record
ACAAGAAGUACAAGAGUAUUCUGUUCGGUGGGUAAUCAGGAAGGAAAGGGAAAGAGAAAAUCAGUCCCUCUGGGCGACCAGGUUCAUUGAACCUGCAAAGCUCUCUCUUUUAUCUUGCCAUUUCCUCCAUCUCUAGCUUCUGCAACAAAACAAUGUAGUAUUAAUCUAUAUCUACAUAUAUAUAUAUAUAUAGAUCGAUAGAUAGAUAGAGAGAGAGAGAGAGAGAUGGCCUUGCCUGCUGACGAAGAUCAUCUCCUUCCCACCUUAAACCCUAAUAUUUCACUGUCUUCUGUGUGCCCAAAGGUCUCUAUGUGGCUGCGGAUCACUCGGCAUGCAUGGAGGAAGAAGAAGAAAACCAGACCAGAAUCUUGAUGCAUAUCGUGAUAUAAAUAUAUAUAUAUAUAUAUAUUCACAGAACCAGAAUCAAAUAUAUAUAUAUGAGCAGAUAACAAGGCAGCAAUAUUGCAAUGGCUACCACACAGUGUUCUUGAGGAUGAUGAGUUCCCCCCUAAACUUCAGUUUUCCAGUUUGGUGAUCCUGUAAUAAUCAAGGAAAAGAUGAUCAUGAACCUGAUGAAUCAGUCUCAGCCUGUAUUUCCUUAAUCUCGCUUUGGAAUGCUCCGAGAUCAACAGGCAGAUUGUAGGUUUGUGAUUGCUUACCACAAUAAAUUCUAGUUCUGUGUAUUAAUCUUCAUUUUUAUUUUUUUAUUUAAUUUUGGCUUCUUUUUCUCCCCCAUUGCCUUAUGGUGAGAGGAUAUGUACUUCUCAGGACAACUUCUUGGGAUGAAUGGGGCUUUCCUUAUGUAAUUGUUAGUAUUCCUUAUAUA